Small nucleolar RNA from Rhododendron vialii, 108 nucleotides. RefSeq annotates it as small nucleolar RNA snoR100. The transcript has a single exon. NCBI's taxonomy places the organism in Eukaryota, Viridiplantae, Streptophyta, Magnoliopsida, Ericales, Ericaceae. The record is from RefSeq and is a predicted model, not a curated record.
AAAUGAAGAUAGAAUGGUAUUGAGCAAAGAAAUUGAAUCAGGUCUUUAGGCAUGCCCUCUUCGAUGCCUUCCGGCUUUGAUUGGGGGGCCUUGUUCCAUGGCAUAAUG